RNAcentral lists this ribosomal RNA (398 nucleotides) under uncultured bacterium. RNAcentral's name for it is "bacterial SSU rRNA". It matches the Rfam family "Bacterial small subunit ribosomal RNA", at positions 29 to 409 of the family's 1533-position model. The record is from RNAcentral.
AACGAACGCUGGCGGCGUGGAUAAGACAUGCAAGUCGAACGGGAUUACUUCUGGUAGCAAUACCGGAAGUAAUUUAGUGGCGAACGGGUGCGUAACACGUGGGGAAUCUGCCGAGAAGUGGGGGAUAGCUCGUCGAAAGGCGAAUUAAUACCGCAUAUGAUCAGCCAAGACAUCUUGGCGACAUCAAAGCCGGGGCAACCUGGCGCUUCUUGAUGACCCCGCGGCCUANCAGCUAGUUGGUGAGGUAACGGCCCACCAAGGCUAUGACGGGUAGCUGGUCUGAGAGGACGACCAGUCACACUGGAACUGAGACACGGUCCAGACACCUACGGGUGGCAGCAGUCGAGUAAUUUUUCUCAAUCGGGGAAACCCUGAAGGAGCGACGCCGCGUGGAGGAU